Non-coding RNA from Callithrix jacchus (white-tufted-ear marmoset), 6188 nucleotides. The record is from RefSeq and is a predicted model, not a curated record. NCBI's taxonomy places the organism in Eukaryota, Metazoa, Chordata, Mammalia, Primates, Cebidae.
AUUUCUGAAUGCUGACAUUUUCACACGCAGAUUGUGUAAGACCUGAUAGACUCUUAGAAAAGUUGGCUUUUACUCUGUGUGAAAUGGGGGCCACUGGAGAGUUUGGAGCAGAGAAGUAACAUCAUCUGACUUUUGUUUAAUCAGAUUGCCCUGUCUAAUUUGUCAAGAAUGUCAUGCAGAGAGGCAGGAGUAGAAUCAGAGAGAUCAUUUAAGAGGAUACUGCAAUAAUCUAGGAGAGAGAUGGUGGGGACUUAGAUGAAAGUGGUAUCAGUGGAAGGAGUGAGAUGUGGUCAGAUAUUGGAUAUAUUUUAAAGGUGAAAUCAAUAGAAUUGGUGAAGGAUUGAAUAUAGAACAUGAAGGAAAGAGAGGAAUCAAGAAUGACUCCAUAUAUUUGCCUUGAGCAAACAGAAUUGCCACUGACAGACAUGGGGAAAGGUGAAGGAAAAACAGAUAUGUGGAAAAGGUUCUGGGUUCCCCUGUGUUGUUUUGAGAUGUCUUCUAGGCAUCUGUAGAGGACAAAGCAACUCCAUCUUGGAUGCUAAUCUGCCAAGUUGGCUUCUGAUUAAUCCCUGUUCUGGGAGCUAAGAUUUCCAGUGUAUCUAUUGUUCCUUGUUUAAGAGCAGAUACUUACCAUAAAUCUUGCCCUUAGGUCAAAGAACUGUGAUGUCAUCACACCUCAACUGUCCGGUACAUCUCUUCUGAACCAGCCCUCCCCUGCAGUAUUAAUGCCCUGGAGCUGGAGAGUGAUGGAAUAGGGGUCUUGUCCACCACCACCCAGGACACAGACAUGGCUGCUUUUUCCAGGGCCUCUGGGACAGACCCUGCAGAUGGUGCCCCAUUUGAGGAACGCUGCAACGAAUCACGACGGAACCCUUGAAAACUGAAGUGACUGUGCAGUUAAUUGGCGCCCGCUGGGGAUUUCCAAGUUCGGGGGCAUUUUCAAGGCACAGCGAGAAAGCAGCUGACAAUCUUCACCAGAAACCAAAUCUUGAUGGCAGUUGAUUUGGUCUUCCCAGCCCCCGGAACUGUGAGCAACAGUCUUGCUCUUUUGUUGCCCAGGCUGAAGCGCAGUAGCACAAUUUCAGCUCACUGGAACCUCUGCCUCCUGGAUUAAAACAUCUUUCUAAUAUAUACAGGGAUGAACCAAUUUGAUUCAGGGAGAUUUCAGGACCCGACUUGAACCCACACUUCCUAAAGCUGAUAUGGCAGAAAACAGAGAAGCAUUCAAUUCCUGCUUGAAAUCAUCGAUUCCUCAUGAAGUUUAAUGCUAGAAAACCAAACCACAGCAAGGGACAUGGAUGAAUCUGGAGAACAUCAUUCUCAGCAAACUGACACAAGAACAGAAAAUGAAACACCGCAUAUUCUCACUCAUAGGCGGGUGAUGAAAAAUGAGAACACAUGGACACAGAGAGGGGAGUACUAAACACUGGGGUCUAUUGGGGGGAAAAGGGGAGGGCCAGUGGGAGGGGGAGAUGGGGAGGGAUAGCCUGGGGAGAAAUGCCAAAUGUGGGUGAAGGGGAGAAAGGAAGCAAAACACACUGCCAUGUGUGUACCUAUGCAACUGUCUUGCAUGUUCUGCACAUGUACCCCAAAACCUAAAAUGCAAUAAAAAAUUUAAAAAAAAGAGUGUUGAAUCUUGUCAAAGGUUUUUUUCUGUACAUAUUGAUACGAUCAUGUGAUUUUUCUUUCUUCAGCCUGUUGAUGUCAUGUAUUACACUCAUUGAUUUUCAGGUGCUGAUCUAGCCCUAGGUACUUGAGAUAAAUCUCAUUUAGUAAUGGCAGAUAAAGGAUUUUCAAUCUUCCUGAUCUUUUCAAAGAGCUGGCUUUCGGCUGCAUUCAUUUCUCUACUGAUUUCCUGUUUUUGAUUUUAUUUAUUCCUGCUUUGUUAUUAUUUAUACUCUUCUACUUACUUUGGAUUUAACUUGCUCUUCCUUUUCGGGUUUUCUAAAAUGGAAGCUUAUUGAUUUUAGCUUUUUAUUAUUUUCUAAUAUAUGCAUUCCAUUUUAUAAAUUUUUCAGUACAAAAUAAUUUCACUAUAUCCCCUUUGAUAAGUUAUAUUUUCAUUUUUAUUUAGCUCAAAAUCCUUACAAAACUCUCUUAGGAUUUCUUUUCUGAACCAUGUGUUGUUUAGAGGUAUGUUUAAUCUCUCGGUAUUUGGGGAUUUUUUUUUAACCUAUCUUUCUGUUAUUUGUUCUUUGUAUAAUUCCAUUGUGGUCUGAGCAUACACUGUAUAAUUUCUGGUCUUUUAAAUAAGUUAAGGUGUGUUUUAUGGCCCCAAAUAUUGUUUAUCUUGGUAAAAAGUUUUAUGUGGGCUUUAGAAGAAUGAUACUGUUGUUGAAAAAGGUGGCAUGUGAAUUAUAUUUAGUUAAUGUCAAUUAUAUCCAGUAGAUUGAUGUAGUCAUUGAAUUCAGCUUUGUUCUUACUGAUUUUCUGCUUACUGGAUUUGUACAUUUUGAAUAAAAGUGUGGAUGUCUUCCUGGAGAAUUUACUGCUAUAUUGUUUUGUAAUGCCUUUUUCUAUCCCUGAUAACGUUCCUUGCUCUGAAGUCUAUUCUCUUUGAAAUUUAUGUAGCUACUCCAAUUUUCUUUUAAUUAGCAUGCCGUAACCUUCUCCACCCUUUUGUUUUUAAUCUGUGUCUUAUUUAAAAUGGAUUUCUUAUAGACAACAUAAAAUUGGGUCUUUGUUUAUUCUGUUCCACUCUGACAAAAUUUAUCUUUUAACUGAUUUUAGACUACUAACAUUCAAACUUAUUGUCAGGAUCGUAAGAUCUAUAUUAUUCUACAUGAUUUUACUUUUUUUCCUUCCUUAGCAUAUUAUACUACUUUUUAAAAUUUCUUUCAGGGAUUGCCUGAGUGGUUACCUUUAACUAGGUAAUUCAAGUCCACUUUCAAAUAUAGCAUGCCUACAAAUGUGCCUAUGUGCAAGGUUUUGAGGAGCAUUUAUCAUGGUUGGUGUUUUCUGAACUUCCCAGGUCUGUGGUUUGUUGUAUGCCAUUAAUUUGUGGAAACUCUCAGUCAUUAUUGCUUCAAAUAUUGCUUCUAUUUUCCUUUUUAUUCUUCCCUGGUAUUCACAUUUUGAGUAUUUUAUAGUUAUUCCACUGUUCUUGAAUAUUUUGUUCCUUUUUUUCUUUGCUUUUUAAUUUUGAAUGUUUUUAUUGACAUAUCCUCAAGCUAAGAGUUUCUUUCCUCAGCUGUGUCCAAUCUACUGGUGAGUUCAUCAAAGGCAUUUUUCAUUUCUCUUACCAUGUUUUGAUCCUUAGCAUUUCUUUUUGACUCUUUCUUAGAAUACCUAUCUUUCUGCUUACAUUACCCAUCUCUUCUUACAUAUUGUUUACUCUUUUCAUUAGAGACCUGAGCAUAUUAAUCCUUGUUUUAAAUCCAUCAUUCCAACAUCCUGGCCAUAUCUGGUUCUGAUGUUUGCUCUGUUUAAACUGUUUUUUGUUUGUUUGUUUUCACUUUUUAGUGUGCCUUGUAAUUUCUCAUUGAUAGAGGAUACCAUGCACUGGGUAAACAGAACUGUGAUAAAUAGCGCCUCCAGUAAUGUGAUGUACUAUGUAGAGGAGGGGAAGCAUUUUAUACUCCUAUGAUUAGGUCUCACGUCUCAGUCUUUUAAUAAGCCUGUGCUUUGGACUAGAAACUUCACUAAUGCUUUUCAGUUUGUUUGGGAUUUCUACCCCCUACCCCCACCUUCUUAGGUGGUACAGGAAAUGUAGAAAAGUUAGGCAUUUUCCUUCCCCAUGUAAGUUAUCCUCUAGUAAAACCCCAGUGGCUUAAUUUUUCUGGAAGGCAGGCCUAGUGAGAGAGAGCAGAGUCCUCUGCUGCAUUUCAGGAAUGGCUUUUCCCCCCGAGUCCCUGCUGGAAGCCUUAGGGAAUUUUCAACAAUCUGCACUGUGAGAAGCUGGCAGAGAACUCACAAAAGAGUGGGGCCCUCUACAAUUGGAUCUCCCUGGAAGUUCUCAGACUUGUCCACACUGCACCUCCAGCAGCUUGUCAACUACAGUUCAGAUAUGCCCAUGCCAGCAUUAGUUCUGGGGUGGGUCCUGCGGGUCUGUGUCUGCUCCAGUAAGCUCUGAUUCUCUGGUUAUGCUUAUCUGUCUCUCCAAUAAUGAGGGCAGCAAGUUUGCCCUGUGACCUCAGCGUUCUGAUGAAUCUGAAAAGAGUUGCUGUUUUUCCAGCUUUUUACUUAUUGUUGAGAUGGAGUGGCAGCUUCUAAGCUCCUUCUCUGAUGGCCCAGAAACCAGAAGUCUUUCAAUAGUAUUAUAAUCCCUUUUUCCUUUUAAACCAUUUAGUACAUCCAUGUUGUAAACUAGACAAAGGCAGAAAAGACAGAAGAACGAGGAUCUUAUAAUGCCAUUUACUCCAAGAAUAUAGCAAGAGUAACUGUUUUACUGAAAUAACUCAUAAAAAGGUCAGAUGUUUGAGAUCUCAGUGACAGUAGCAUUACUGUUUUUAGACUGACAGAUUUACAGAGUGACCUUUCUGCUUUUUUAAACUAUACUCAUUUUAUUUGAUCUUGCACUUGAGCAUGUGAUACAAAUAGUAGAUAAUUUUCUCACAAGGCCCUAAAUGCCACAUUUGAACAUUAGAUGCUUGAACAUAUAAAAUAUUGCCAUAUAGUAGCUUAAGGAAUAUGUAUAAUUCUAUUAAAAUAUAAGAACUACAACAAAGUAAGCAACAGACUGGGAAAAAGAAACACACACACACUUAGGUACAAUUUGACCCUAUUGUAAUUAAUCUUUAAAUGCAUAAUCUCACACCACACCUCCAAUUUUUACUUCAAAGUGUCAUUCAUUACUCCUUCUGUCAGGACAAUUGGUUUGAUGUCAAAACACAGCUCCUUGCCUCUGUGGCGCUCCCACAUACUUAACUUUAUAGCCGUAAACUAUGAAAACUGCUGCUACCCAGCUAUACAGGACAUGCUGCUGUUUCUUAAAAAUAGUUGUUAUUUAAGAAUUUUGUUGGCUGGGCGCGGUGGCUCAAGCCUGUAAUCCCAGCACUUUGGGAGGCCGAGGCAGGUGGAUCACGAGGUCAAGAGAUCGAGACCAUCCCGGUCAACAUGGUGAAACCCCGUCUCUACUAAAAAUACAAAAAAUUAUCUGGGCAUGGUGGUGUGUGCCUGUAAUCCCAGCUACUCAGGAGGCUGAGGCAGGAGAAUUGCCUGAACCCAGGAGGCAGAGGUUGCCGUGAGCCGAGAUUGCGCCAUUGCACUCCAGCCUGGGUAACAAGAGCGAAACUCCAUCUCAAAAAAAAACAAAAAGAAUUUUGUUUUGUUGUUCUUGUUGUUAAAAAUGAGUUUCUGGAACUUAACACAUUGUAAAAGGCCCUGUAAUUGAAAAUGGUAAUAUACAGCAACCAUUUUCAGUUAUUCAAAUAUGCUUCCUUUCAGUUAGUUAAAUACAGUAAGCAUGUUCACACCAUAGGCUUCUGUGCAUGCUGUUCUCUCUGCUUAGAAAGCUCUUCCUCCAGAUAUUCACAAAUUCAUGUCCUCACUUUAUUUAGACCUUUUGUCAACUAUCAGAAAAUCCCAGAGAGAUCUUCCCUGACCCACCUCUCUAAUAUAGAAGCUGCAAUCCCCUUGUUUCCUUGAUUUGUAUUAUUUGUCUUCAUAGAAACUGACUGGGAAAACGCUAAUUGUUUAUCUGUAUACUGCCUGUCUACUCCACUAGAAUGGGGUCUUAGUCUCUUUUCUGUAGGGCUGUAUGCCCAUUGACUAACAGAAUGUGCCUGACACAGAGAAGAUGCCCAAUAAAGCUUUGCAGAAUGAACAGAUGCUUUUUCCAAACAUAUUCUCUCCCAAUAUGUAUGCUGAGAUAAUGUCACAUCAUCUUUCUUCUUGUGUGAAUGCUAGGUAAAAGAAAAGUGUGCCUGUUCUUUUAUUCUUGGUUCAGCCCUUGGUUAUUGGUGUACAGGAGACCGGCUUCGGUGGUGGAAUCCUGCCAAAAGCUCCUGUGUGGCUUCUUUAGGAGGCUCAAACUCUACUCCAGAGUUAUUACUGGUACCCACAAAUUUGUACAUGAGCCAUAAUCUGUUGAUAUAAUAUCUAAUCAGUAUAACAGCUUCGGUAAUAUGAAUAGGCAUACCAUUGAAAUGUAUUGUUAAUAUCUAAAUAUUCAUAAUCAAAUGAAGGCAAAUAUUCUAGCUGUAACUUGAAUGAAACCCUUUUAUAUGCUAUAUUUUAAAAUUGUAUCA